RNAcentral lists this ribosomal RNA (424 nucleotides) under uncultured bacterium. RNAcentral describes it as "bacterial SSU rRNA". It matches the Rfam family "Bacterial small subunit ribosomal RNA", at positions 355 to 776 of the family's 1533-position model. The record is from RNAcentral.
UAAGGAAUAUUGGUCAAUGGACGAAAGUCUGAACCAGCCAUGCCGCGUGCAGGAUGAAUGCCCUAUGGGUUGUAAACUGCUUUUAUACAGGAAGAAAAACUUUCUCGUGAGAAAGCUUGACGGUACUGUAAGAAUAAGGAUCGGCUAACUCCGUGCCAGCAGCCGCGGUAAUACGGAGGAUCCAAGCGUUAUCCGGAAUUAUUGGGUUUAAAGGGUCCGUAGGUGGAUAAUUAAGUCAGAGGUGAAAUCCUGCAGCUUAACUGUAGAAUUGCCUUUGAUACUGGUUAUCUUGAGUUAUUAUGAAGUGAUUAGAAUGUGUAGUGUAGCGGUGAAAUGCAUAGAUAUUACACAGAAUACCAAUUGCGAAGGCAGAUCACUAAUAAUCAACUGACACUGAGGGACGAAAGCGUGGGUAGCGAACAGG